UGCUAUGAUGAAGCUUAAUAUCUCGUUAAUCUGAACAAGUGUUAAUGAAGACACUAUUCUUAUCCAUUCAUUAAGAGAUUCUGAGC
This is a small nucleolar RNA of Telopea speciosissima, 86 nucleotides long. RefSeq annotates it as small nucleolar RNA U30. The record is from RefSeq and is a predicted model, not a curated record. NCBI's taxonomy places the organism in Eukaryota, Viridiplantae, Streptophyta, Magnoliopsida, Proteales, Proteaceae. The transcript has a single exon.